GCCUCUCUCCUAUGGGGCUGUGAAGAGGUCCCUUUUCUCCUCAGCCAAAGCUGGAGGACAAGAUCAUCCCUUGAGAAUCAUGGUCAAGACUGCCACAAACUGGGCAGCCUUGUUUUCCUGCCUCAGACGUUU
Molecule: small nucleolar RNA, 132 nt
Filed under: Carlito syrichta (Philippine tarsier)
Lineage: Eukaryota; Metazoa; Chordata; Mammalia; Primates; Tarsiidae
Source: RNAcentral